UCCCUGGCAGUCCAGUGGUUAAGACUUGGCACUUUCACUGUCAGGGCCUGGGUUUGAUCCCUGGUCAGGGAA
Molecule: transfer RNA, 72 nt
Filed under: Bos taurus (domestic cattle)
Lineage: Eukaryota; Metazoa; Chordata; Mammalia; Artiodactyla; Bovidae
Also listed under: 2 other names
Rfam family: tRNA
About the family: Transfer RNA (tRNA) molecules are approximately 80 nucleotides in length. Their secondary structure includes four short double-helical elements and three loops (D, anti-codon, and T loops).
Source: Rfam by way of RNAcentral